UUUGUCACAGGAUAGGGGUGUCGCUGGCUUGGCCACUAUUAAUUGUCCACUUCUAAGUGCAUGGGGGGAAGUUGGUAGUGAUGUGUCUCCUUAAAAUACUGCACUCCUUGAUGUGUAGGGACACCCACUGUGUUCCUUAGGAGGCUUUCCAGGAUUUUGACACAGCAACACCUAAUGAUGGAGAGAGGGUCAUCGAUGAAGCAGCUUUGGACACUACCCGAAAGAACUCCUGCAGGACAGUCUUAGAGGUAUGAUGACCGAAGUGCAGCAAUUGCAAUCACCUUCCUUUGUAUGAGUAUGACUACAGUCAGCAGAAAAUUUUCCUCCUGAUUGACAUUGACCAGAGUUUUGGUAAUGCUACUUGACAGCACACCUGUUCAAAUGUAACCUUGAUGUCAAGGGCAGACAUUCAGACCUCACCUCCUGGAAUUCAGUGCUUUUGUCCAUUUUUUUGAAUUAAGGUGUUACUGAGGUCUGGAGCUGAGUCAAACUACAGUCAAAAGGAAGUGUUGUUUCAUAUGUUCCUCCAGUAAUUGGGAUUUACAGCCUAUAUAGCUGGCAUCAUACCAGCACUGCAACUCAUACACCACAUUACUUAUUUAUAUGUGGGCAGAAUGUCUUUCUGGCUUAUCUCCUUCAUAGGCAGAAGGAUUUUAUUACAACAACUCUCAGUACAAUGAAAAUAUGACUACGCUAGCGUCAAAUAAAAAUAGCGAAUUAUAGAAAAACUGUGUCUGGCUUUGUGGAAGGAGAAAUACUUGCCACUUCUGUUUGAUCUUUCUUCACAGUUAUUUUUAUAUAUUUAUGGAAUUGCUCCACAUUGAGCAAGAUGAAAUCUUUGCCAGGCAAGCGCUAAGACUUCUGAUGUCACUGACUCUGAAAAUUGUAUGUUCCUCUUUUGUUUUGUGUUUGUAAUUUCAAUUGUUGUUUUAAAAUAAACUCGUCAUUACCUUU
Chiloscyllium plagiosum (whitespotted bambooshark) is the source of this 954-nucleotide non-coding RNA. NCBI's taxonomy places the organism in Eukaryota, Metazoa, Chordata, Chondrichthyes, Orectolobiformes, Hemiscylliidae. The record is from RefSeq and is a predicted model, not a curated record.